Non-coding RNA from Cricetulus griseus (Chinese hamster), 3145 nucleotides. The record is from RefSeq and is a predicted model, not a curated record. NCBI's taxonomy places the organism in Eukaryota, Metazoa, Chordata, Mammalia, Rodentia, Cricetidae.
UGUUGAUCAAUUUAAUAUAGGAUGUGUUUACAAGAACUUAUAAAAAGUUUUUUUGUUAUAGUAAAAUGACUUCAUUCAUAUUGUGGGAAAAAAAAGAAGUGAAACUGAGUUUUCCCGAAGGCAGAGCUACUCAGAACACAGAUUGUAUCCACCCAUGUGAGGAAGCAAACACACUCAAAAAUUCUCCAGCUCCCUGCCCAACCUCUGUGACCCUGAGUCUGGCACAAGCACAGCUUCUAGCAACAGUGUCAAUUCCUAUUCAACAUCUUUCAGUUUAUGCAAUGACACAGCUAAUUUCUGUUGUCAACUUGACAUCCUUGAAAAGAUGGAACCUCAGUUAAAGAACUGGUUCCAUUGGACCAGCCUCUGGGAAUAUCUGUGGGACAUUUUCUUGAUUGCUAAUUGACAUGGAAGGACUCAGGCCACUGUGUGCAGUGCCUUUCCUGGGCAGGUGACGGUGUUCAUUCUGCAAGCAAGGGUUUCGUCUUAAAUGGAAAUUCAAAGUGACUCACUAACCAGAGACAGGAAGCAAAGGUGGUAAAGGAAAGACAUCCUCGGUGAGUUGCAGUGAACACAGAACUCUAUAAAUGACAGCUUCAACAAAACUCUGACUGGAGUUUUAGUGCCAGUCAACCAAGAACAAUUUGAAUAAAUGGAAACAGAAGUGACAACUUGUGAAAAAGGAUGCUGAAAUAUUGGUAGGGAGGGAGGGAGGAGACAAAAAACUUAGAUUUGAAUCUGCAGUAUCUAGGGACGCCACUCAGUCGGACGCACAUAUCGUUCGGGUACAUACAUCAGAGGCACCACUACACCGUACCUUCAAUGACUCCUCUACAUUCACUCCCACUGCUUUUUCUGGAAACUGAAUGUAGUGGCUACCGGUCAACCCCCCAGAAAAGAAUCUACUCGGUGUCCACUUCUUCAUUAUGAGUCGUGAGCCUUCGUAAUUCACCACUAGUUUCUGUUACACGUGUUUGUGCCCCUGAUUGACAGAGCCUGGGUUCAGGGAGAGACAGAAAUGAAUACCUGAUGUUUCUAGCUGCUCUGGUGAUAAGCAAACAAUGAGUCAUCAAGUGAGGAAAACGAAACACAGAAAAUAAGUCGCAUGGUAGUUAGUUCAAAGAAAAUGCCUUGGGUAGCAAAGAAGAGCUGGGGGUGAUUUGUGACCCAUGAGGCUGAGGUUCUCAGGGGCCCAGGUACCACAUGUGGGCUGUCCCAGCCUUCUGCCCACCUCUGGUUAUCUAGAAGCAGCUACAGAAAUGGAGGCUCCAGGACAAUGUACCCCCAUUUAGUGUAGUCCAGAUAAGCCAGGAAGACCAUGACUGGAAGGAACGCACCACCUCUUAGGACUCCUCUUCUCCAGAUUUACAGACUGCUCAGUCACAGGGGCACAACGUUAUAAUUGUCAUCUUGGGUAAUGCAGGUAACACUGCCCUUCUGUGUCAAGUUUCCACCAGUGUGCUUGUACACACUUCCACUACACCAGGAAGGAAUGCAGAAGAGGUGCUAAUCAUACCACAUGCUUCCCAACAUGGGAGGAUCAGAGGCUAAGAAUUUCCUCUUUCUCACUGGAAUACUUCCUGCACAAACACAGAGUUUGCAAUUGUUGCAGACAGGGGUUUCUGUAAUAGAGAAAAACAAUACAGAAAUUUGAGCCCACAGGGACCUAAGGAAAAUUGGACUGCUAACUCACACAAAUAAAUAAGAUGUUAAAGAAUGCAUGAGAGCAGCAGAAACAUCCAGUUUUUGGAAAUAACUUCUACUGAAGAUCUCCAGAGGCAUAGACAAGUAUGCUGUGCUCUUACUAGCAAGAGUGAUGCCAAGGACUGGCAUGGAUGGUGUCGUCACUGAAGAGAAGGUGACCUCAACUGACCUUUUCUCACAGACUUUGUACCAAGGAAGUGCCAAACAUUAGUAGUUCAGUUUUCUUUUUGUAAAAACUAAAAUCAUGUUCUAUAAGAAGGAAAAGGUAAGAUAAUUUAUUUGAAACAAGGUGAAAUCUCAUUAUACAAUUUGCUUUCUCAUUGGUCCCUCCCAGAGUACAUUAAAGUUGUGGUUGGCAUUUUUACCCCUAAGGAGUCCUCUCAAGACAUUUCAUAGUCUGUGUAAAGUAGAAAGAGACAGGAGACAUUGGGAAUUUUGGUGCUUGGCUGUCUGUGCGUCCCUUCACACCUCAAGUUGAAUGUUCUGUCCAUGCUCCUUCAAGUUAAAAUACAAAUCAGCAGAUACUGUUUCCAAUACUGAAAGAUGCACUGCUAUGAAAGUUAGUUUGCUUAAAGUUAUUCAUGUAUUAUGUAUCUACCUCAAGUUCAUGCUAACAGCUUCCAUUCUUAAGAAAAGCAAAGAACACGAAAAUUAGUAACAACUUUAUUUAUCGUCCUACUGUCAUUGUGGAUACGCACUGGCAUUAAGUGUCAUUGUGACUCUGUGUCCUCUGUGUUGUACUAGCCAGCUAACUCCUUCCACAAUUACUGAGCUGCUCUUGGGAAAUGGUGUGAGACUGUAUGUAUUUCUACUGCACAGUAACACAUGGAAACACAUAAUGCGUUGUGGAAUAUCAGUCAGAUGUAUUGGCUUCAGAUCACCAUUGGAAGAAUCGCAGCAGGAGUAUCAGCUAUUGUUUUUGUUAGUCCUUACUCCAUUGAAAUCACAGAAUAAAUUUUUAAUUAGUCAAUCACAAGAAAGUAGUGAGGAAAAUGACUUGCUCACAUAGGGGCCCACACAAGAGGCAAGGGAAUCCCACGCCAUCUAGAUACAGAUCCCAGUGCCUCACUCUUCUUCCACACUUUGGCCUCACUUCAGGCUGCUCACUUUAGAGGUGUGCAACAGAGACUAGAAGUUGGGGUGUGCUUUCAUAUCUAAAAGUCAGGACCACAUGCUUCCUCUUCUUCAUUUCUCAUCCUUCUCUAUUUCUUUUCCUCAAUUGUCAUAAAAUUAACAACGCUAAAAUGUGAGGUUUUUCAGUAUAGGGAUUACGUUAAAGUUCUCCAGAAACUUGUGUUAGUCUGUUACUAAUAAAGCUGAAAGGGUUGUUUUGCCUCACAGUUUUGAAGAUAGGCUCUGUGACUGGGUUUUCUUGCUGAUUCUGCCUGGGCGUGACAGCAAAUGGGGAAGAAGUGCAAAGAGGGACACAGCCACUCACUUC